UACGAAGGGGGCUAGCGUUGCUCGGAAUGACUGGGCGUAAAGGGCGCGUAGGCGGACAGCUUUGUCAGGCGUGAAAUUCCAGGGCUCAACCUUGGGGCUGCGUUUGAGACGGGUUGUCUUGAGUGGAGAAGAGGGUCGUGGAAUUCCCAGUGUAGAGGUGAAAUUCGUAGAUAUUGGGGAAGAACACCGGUGGCGAAGGCGGCGACCUGGUCUUUUACUGACGCUGAGGCGCGAAAGCGUGGGGAGCAAACAGG
Molecule: ribosomal RNA, 254 nt
Filed under: uncultured bacterium
Lineage: Bacteria
Description: partial 16S ribosomal RNA
Rfam family: Bacterial small subunit ribosomal RNA
Source: RNAcentral